RNAcentral lists this ribosomal RNA (2920 nucleotides) under Acinetobacter baumannii. RNAcentral's name for it is "bacterial LSU rRNA". It matches the Rfam family "Bacterial large subunit ribosomal RNA". Lineage: Bacteria; Pseudomonadati; Pseudomonadota; Gammaproteobacteria; Moraxellales; Moraxellaceae. The record is from RNAcentral.
GUUGUAUAGUCAAGUAAUUAAGUGCAUGUGGUGGAUGCCUUGGCAGUCAGAGGCGAUGAAAGACGUGAUAGCCUGCGAAAAGCUCCGGGGAGGCGGCAAAUAUCCUUUGAUCCGGAGAUGUCUGAAUGGGGGAACCCACCUACUUUAAGGUAGGUAUUGCAACAUGAAUACAUAGUGUUGCAAGGCGAACGAGGGGAAGUGAAACAUCUCAGUACCCUUAGGAAAAGAAAUCAAUUGAGAUUCCCUCAGUAGCGGCGAGCGAACGGGGAUCAGCCCAUUAAGUUAUGUGUGUUUUAGUGGAACGCUCUGGGAAGUGCGAACGUAGAGGGUGAUAUUCCCGUACACGAAAGGGCACACAUAAUGAUGACGAGUAGGGCGAGGCACGUGAAACCUUGUCUGAAUAUGGGGGGACCAUCCUCCAAGGCUAAAUACUCCUGACUGACCGAUAGUGAACCAGUACCGUGAGGGAAAGGCGAAAAGAACCCCUGUGAGGGGAGUGAAAUAGAUCCUGAAACCGCAUGCAUACAAGCAGUGGGAGCACCUUCGUGGUGUGACUGCGUACCUUUUGUAUAAUGGGUCAGCGACUUAUAUUCAGUAGCAAGGUUAACCGUAUAGGGGAGCCGUAGAGAAAUCGAGUCUUAAUAGGGCGUUUAGUUGCUGGGUAUAGACCCGAAACCAGGCGAUCUAUCCAUGAGCAGGUUGAAGGUUGGGUAACACUAACUGGAGGACCGAACCCACUGUCGUUGAAAAGCCAGGGGAUGACUUGUGGAUAGGGGUGAAAGGCUAAUCAAGCCUGGUGAUAGCUGGUUCUCCCCGAAAGCUAUUUAGGUAGCGCCUCGGACGAAUACCAUAGGGGGUAGAGCACUGUUUCGGCUAGGGGGUCAUCCCGACUUACCAAACCGAUGCAAACUCCGAAUACCUAUGAGUACUAUCCGGGAGACAGACUGCGGGUGCUAACGUCCGUAGUCAAGAGGAAAACAAUCCAGACCGCCAGCUAAGGCCCCAAAAUCAUAGUUAAGUGGGAAACGAUGUGGGAAGGCAUAGACAGCUAGGAGGUUGGCUUANGAAGCAGCCACCCUUUAAAGAAAGCGUAAUAGCUCACUAGUCGAGUCGGCCUGCGCGGAAGAUGUAACGGGGCUAAAACUAUGUGCCGAAGCUGCGGAUGUAUACUUUGUAUACGUGGUAGGGGAGCGUUCUGUAAGCCGAUGAAGGUGUGUUGAGAAGCNAUGCUGGAGGUAUCAGAAGUGCGAAUGCUGACGUGAGUAACGACAAAACGGGUGAAAAACCCGUUCGCCGAAAGACCAAGGGUUCCAGUCCAACGUUAAUCGGGGCUGGGUGAGUCGACCCCUAAGGCGAGGCCGAAAGGCGUAGUCGAUGGGAAAAUGGUUAAUAUUCCAUUACUUCUGUGUAAUGCGAUGAGAGGACGGAGAAGGCUAAAUCAGCCUGGCGUUGGUUGUCCAGGUGAAAGGAUGUAGGCAUGUAUCUUAGGCAAAUCCGGGGUACUCUAUGCUGAGAUCUGAUAGCAAGCUGUACUUGUACAGCGAAGUGGUUGAUGCCAUGCUUCCAGGAAAAGUCUCUAAGCUUCAGUUACACAGGAAUCGUACCCGAAACCGACACAGGUGGUCAGGUCGAGUAGACCAAGGCGCUUGAGAGAACUCUGCUGAAGGAACUAGGCAAAAUGGUACCGUAACUUCGGGAGAAGGUACGCUGUUGUUGGUGAUGGAACUCGCUUCCUGAGCUGACGACAGCCGCAGAAACCAGGCCGCUGCAACUGUUUAUUAAAAACAUAGCACUCUGCAAACACGAAAGUGGACGUAUAGGGUGUGAUGCCUGCCCGGUGCUGGAAGGUUAAUUGAUGGGGUUAGCGUAAGCGAAGCUCUUGAUCGAAGCCCCAGUAAACGGCGGCCGUAACUAUAACGGUCCUAAGGUAGCGAAAUUCCUUGUCGGGUAAGUUCCGACCUGCACGAAUGGCAUAAUGAUGGCGGCGCUGUCUCCAGCAGAGGCUCAGUGAAAUCGAAAUCGCUGUGAAGAUGCAGUGUACCCGCGGCUAGACGGAAAGACCCCGUGAACCUUUACUGCAGCUUGACACUGAACUUUGACCUUACUUGUGUAGGAUAGGUGGGAGGCUUUGAAGCUGGAACGCUAGUUCCAGUGGAGCCGUCCUUGAAAUACCACCCUGGUAAUGUUGAGGUUCUAACUCUGUCCCGUGAUCCGGGACGAGGACCGUGUCUGGUGGGUAGUUUGACUGGGGCGGUCUCCUCCUAAAGAGUAACGGAGGAGUACGAAGGUGCGCUCAGCGUGGUCGGAAAUCACGCGUAGAGUAUAAAGGCAAAAGCGCGCUUAACUGCGAGACCCACAAGUCGAGCAGGUACGAAAGUAGGUCUUAGUGAUCCGGUGGUUCUGUAUGGAAGGGCCAUCGCUCAACGGAUAAAAGGUACUCUGGGGAUAACAGGCUGAUACCGCCCAAGAGUUCAUAUCGACGGCGGUGUUUGGCACCUCGAUGUCGGCUCAUCUCAUCCUGGGGCUGAAGCAGGUCCCAAGGGUAUGGCUGUUCGCCAUUUAAAGAGGUACGCGAGCUGGGUUUAGAACGUCGUGAGACAGUUCGGUCCCUAUCUACCGUGGGCGCUGGAAAUUUGAGAGGAUCUGCUCCUAGUACGAGAGGACCAGAGUGGACGAACCUCUGGUGUACCGGUUGUGACGCCAGUCGCAUCGCCGGGUAGCUAUGUUCGGAAGGGAUAACCGCUGAAAGCAUCUAAGCGGGAAGCCUACCUCAAGAUAAGAUUUCCCUAGGACUUUAUGUCCUCUAAAGAGCCGUUCGAGACUAGGACGUUGAUAGGUUGGAUGUGGAAGCAUAGUGAUAUGUGAAGCUGACCAAUACUAAUUGCUCGUGAGGCUUGACUAUACAACACCCAAGCAGUUG